RNAcentral lists this ribosomal RNA (120 nucleotides) under Diaphorina citri (Asian citrus psyllid). Lineage: Eukaryota; Metazoa; Arthropoda; Insecta; Hemiptera; Psyllidae. The record is from RNAcentral.
UCCAGCUACGAUAGCGCGUUGAAGGCGCACCAGUGCCUCAUGAAUCACUGAAGCUAAGCAACGUUUCGCGUGGUUAGUAUCUAAAUGGGUGACCAUCUGAGAAAUCUCGUGCUGUAGGCU